RNAcentral lists this ribosomal RNA (301 nucleotides) under uncultured bacterium. RNAcentral describes it as "partial 16S ribosomal RNA". It matches the Rfam family "Bacterial small subunit ribosomal RNA", at positions 509 to 807 of the family's 1533-position model. The record is from RNAcentral.
CAGUCGCCGCGGUAAUACGAAGGGGGCUAGCGUUGCUCGGAAUCACUGGGCGUAAAGGGUGCGUAGGCGGGUCUUUAAGUCAGAGGUGAAAUCCUGGAGCUCAACUCCAGAACUGCCUUUGAUACUGAGGAUCUUGAGUUCGGGAGAGGUGAGUGGAACUGCGAGUGUAGAGGUGAAAUUCGUAGAUAUUCGCAAGAACACCAGUGGCGAAGGCGGCUCACUGGCCCGAUACUGACGCUGAGGCACGAAAGCGUGGGGAGCAAACAGGAUUAGAUACCCCAGUAGUCCCUGUCUCUUAUAC